GCGGUGCAUUAGCUAGUUGGUAAGGUAAAGGCUUACCGAAGGCGAUGAUGCAUAGCCCGAGUUGAGAGACUGAUCGGGCCACAUUGGGGACUGAGACACGGGGCCAAACUCUACGGGGGAGGGGCAGCAGUAGGGGGAAUCUUCCACAAUGGACGCAAGUCUGAUGGAGCAACGCCGCGUGAGUGAAGAAGGUUUUCGGAUCGUAAAGCUCUGUUGUUGGUGAAGAAGGAUAGAGGUAGUAACUGGCCUUUAUUUGACGGUAAUCAACCAGAAAGUCACGGCUAACUACGUGCCAGCAGCCGCGGUAAU
Molecule: ribosomal RNA, 309 nt
Filed under: uncultured Lactobacillus sp.
Lineage: Bacteria; Bacillati; Bacillota; Bacilli; Lactobacillales; Lactobacillaceae
Description: bacterial SSU rRNA
Rfam family: Bacterial small subunit ribosomal RNA
Source: RNAcentral